This 470-nucleotide ribosomal RNA is filed under the name Clostridioides difficile. RNAcentral describes it as "partial 23S ribosomal RNA". It matches the Rfam family "Bacterial large subunit ribosomal RNA", at positions 2453 to 2925 of the family's 2925-position model. Lineage: Bacteria; Bacillati; Bacillota; Clostridia; Peptostreptococcales; Peptostreptococcaceae. The record is from RNAcentral.
CGGAUAAAAGCUACCCUGGGGAUAACAGGCUUAUCUCCCCCAAGAGUCCACAUCGACGGGGAGGUUUGGCACCUCGAUGUCGGCUCAUCACAUCCUGGGGCUGUAGUAGGUCCCAAGGGUUGGGCUGUUCGCCCAUUAAAGUGGUACGCGAGCUGGGUUCAGAACGUCGUGAGACAGUUCGGUCCCUAUCCGUCGCAGGCGUAGGAAAUUUGAGAAGACCUGUCCUUAGUACGAGAGGACCGGGAUGGACGUACCUCUGGUGUACCAGUUGUCCUGCCAAGGGCAUGGCUGGGUAGCUAUGUACGGAAUGGAUAAGCGCUGAAAGCAUCUAAGCGCGAAGCCAACUUCAAGAUAAGAUUUCCCACCGCAAGGGUAAGACCCCAGAAAGACUAUCUGGUUGAUAGGUCGAAGGUGUAAGUGCAGUAAUGUAUUUAGCUUAUCGAUACUAAUAGGUCGAGGACUUGACCAAU